AUACAGAGGGUGCAAGCGUUAAUCGGAUUUACUGGGCGUAAAGCGCGCGUAGGUGGCUAAUUAAGUCAAAUGUGAAAUCCCCGAGCUUAACUUGGGAAUUGCAUUCGAUACUGGUUAGCUAGAGUAUGGGAGAGGAUGGUAGAAUUCCAGGUGUAGCGGUGAAAUGCGUAGAGAUCUGGUGGAAUACCGAUGGCGAAGGCAGCCAUCUGGCCUAAUACUGACACUGAGGUGCGAAAGCAUGGGGAGCAAACAGGAUUAGAUACCCUGGUAGUCCAUGCCGUAAACGAUGUCUACUAGCCGUUGGGGCCCUUGAGGCUUUAGUGGCGCAGCUAACGCGAUAAGUAGACCGCCUGGGGAGUACGGUCGCAAGACUAAAACUCAAAUGAAUUGACGGGG
This 396-nucleotide ribosomal RNA is filed under the name uncultured bacterium. RNAcentral describes it as "partial 16S ribosomal RNA". It matches the Rfam family "Bacterial small subunit ribosomal RNA", at positions 523 to 918 of the family's 1533-position model. The record is from RNAcentral.